This 186-nucleotide unclassified non-coding RNA is filed under the name Glomeromycotina sp. RNAcentral describes it as "partial contains small subunit ribosomal RNA, internal transcribed spacer 1, and 5.8S ribosomal RNA". The stretch from base 1 to 47 matches the Rfam family "Eukaryotic small subunit ribosomal RNA", at positions 1785 to 1831 of the family's 1831-position model. Lineage: Eukaryota; Fungi; Glomeromycota. The record is from RNAcentral.
AAAGUCGUAACAAGGUUUCCGUAGGUGAACCUGCGGAAGGAUCAUUAAUGAUUUUUUAAGCGAUCCGAGCGAUAAAAAGCGAGGAUCGCGAAAUAUUUAAAACCCCACUCUUUUAUAAACUAUUAUGAAACAUGAAUUUUUUUUUUAAAAAAAAGAUCACUUUCAACAACGGAUCUCUUGGCUCUC